RNAcentral lists this transfer RNA (88 nucleotides) under Capsicum annuum. It matches the Rfam family "tRNA". Rfam says of the family: Transfer RNA (tRNA) molecules are approximately 80 nucleotides in length. Their secondary structure includes four short double-helical elements and three loops (D, anti-codon, and T loops). The record is from Rfam by way of RNAcentral. Lineage: Eukaryota; Viridiplantae; Streptophyta; Magnoliopsida; Solanales; Solanaceae.
GGAGAAAUGGCUGAGUGAAAUAAAGCGGCGGAUUGCUAAUCCAUUGUAUGAGUUAAUCAUACCAAGGAUUCGAAUCCCUCUCUUUCCA